Molecule: long non-coding RNA, 1441 nt
Filed under: Monodelphis domestica (gray short-tailed opossum)
Lineage: Eukaryota; Metazoa; Chordata; Mammalia; Didelphimorphia; Didelphidae
Description: lncRNA (ENSMODG00000036494.1)
Source: RNAcentral
UUGAAACCAGGCAUCUGUCUAUGGUGCUUGGCCCCUUUUCAUAGCCAGCUUACUGACCUCAGUCAGUGGUUCAACCCUUGCUCAGUUAUAUUGAACCUUCAGCCUCCAGGGCAUUUCUUGGCUGUUACAGGAUUGAAGUUUCUCUCCUUGGACUCCUGUUGCUGUUUGAUUUUUAAUUAGCUCCCAUGAGACUUUCCUUUGGAGGGCCUUCUGGGGUGUUCCUUAAUGGGCCAUGUCCCUUACAAUAUAGAUGAUUCUCUAUCAAGAAGUGUGACUCAAAUCCUCCUUUCUCUGACUAUUGAGGUCUCCAGAUCACAACCACCUAAAAAACUUUGGAGGAAACAAAGAAGGUGUCAAAAAGUUCAGAGAUCACUGGAGCCAGAAGCCAGUCCAGACCUGAUUAUAGCAACCCAGUGGCAAAUACUCAUACCCAAGAAAUGAAAUCAAAACAUAGAUUUUCUCCAAAUAUCUGAACUUCAGCAUUGGGAAGACAAAGCAUCUAGUCUGCAGUGAAUUUUUGUGUUUACAACCCAAUAUUGACUAUCACAUAGGCAUUAGAGUACUGGACCUGAAAUCAGCAAUCUCUAGGAUCAAAAUCUCCCCCUGAAACUGUGACAGAGGCUGGCACUAGAGAAAAAGUGCCAGGCUGAAGAGUAUGUGAAAUUAAUCACCUCAACAAGACAGGGGGCCCAGGAGUGGAAUUCUGAGGAGGAGGAGACUCUGGCUUGGGGAACAGUGAGGGUCUCUCAGUCUUGAGAAGCCGAAGAGAGAAGUUGGAAAAAAGACUUUCUCCUGAGGGUUACCCAUUUUUCUGCUGGUGACUGGAAAUCUCCCCCCCCUCCCAACACUUUCCAAAUGAAGGGACUUUCUGAAGAGAAACCUGAGCAGACUUUACCUCAGCUCCUGUUGCCCAGGGGUAAGUCAACCUGACUUCUCUCAGGGUCUCAGGCUGCCAGGGCCUGAGUUCCCCCCAAACUCAAGGAGGGAGGGAAAAGGGUUUAGAUAGAGACAGGGACCCCCUUUUCCCACUUUCCUUUUCCCAUUCUUCCCUGCCCAUUAUUCCUUUUGUAUUAUCUGACUGAGUUAACAUUAAAAGUUAUCUGUUCCCCAAGCUGAGUGUAAGUGAAUGGAUCAAGGGUAGACCUUUUGGUCUUGAGUAGUGGAGAGGGGACAAGAGGGACAAGAGUGAAUUGGGGAGAGCAGCUUUAGCUAAGGAGGGAAUGCAGAAGGGGGAAAAUCUUCAAACCCCCUCUCCUCUCUCUGAGCCAACCCAUUACAUCUGCUAUCUUCCCUGAACCCCACUUUGAGUAGGGGGUUCUCCUUUCUUUCCCACUCUCCAUACCACUUUUUCUCUAGUGCCAGCCUCUGUCACAAAACUCACUAGCUAUCUGACUGGCCAAGACACAUGGCCUCCCUAACCUGUUUUCUCAUUUAUAAAAUG